UGCAAGUAGAACGCUGAAGCUUGGUGCUUGCACCGAGCGGAUGAGUUGCGAACGGGUGAGUAACGCGUAGGUAACCUGCCUCUUAGCGGGGGAUAACUAUUGGAAACGAUAGCUAAUACCGCAUAAAAGUCGAUAUCGCAUGAUAUUGAUUUGAAAGGUGCAAAUGCAUCACUAAGAGAUGGACCUGCGUUGUAUUAGCUAGUUGGUGAGGUAACGGCUCACCAAGGCGACGAUACAUAGCCGACCUGAGAGGGUGAUCGGCCACACUGGGACUGAGACACGGCCCAGACUCCUACGGGAGGCAGCAGUAGGGAAUCUUCGGCAAUGGGGGCAACCCUGACCGAGCAACGCCGCGUGAGUGAAGAAGGUUUUCGGAUCGUAAAGCUCUGUUGUAAGAGAAGAACGAGUGUGAGAGUGGAAAGUUCACACUGUGACGGUAACUUACCAGAAAGGGACGGCUAACUACGUGCCAGCAGCCGCGGUAAUACGUAGGUCCCGAGCGUUAUCCGGAUUUAUUGGGCGUAAAGCGAGCGCAGGCGGUUAGAUAAGUCUGAAGUUAAAGGCUGUGGCUUAACCAUAGUACGCUUUGGAAACUGUUUAACUUGAGUGCAGAAGGGGAGAGUGGAGUUCCAUGUGUAGCGGUGAA
This 646-nucleotide ribosomal RNA is filed under the name uncultured bacterium. RNAcentral's name for it is "bacterial SSU rRNA". It matches the Rfam family "Bacterial small subunit ribosomal RNA", at positions 56 to 685 of the family's 1533-position model. The record is from RNAcentral.